RNAcentral lists this ribosomal RNA (253 nucleotides) under uncultured bacterium. RNAcentral describes it as "partial 16S ribosomal RNA". It matches the Rfam family "Bacterial small subunit ribosomal RNA", at positions 524 to 776 of the family's 1533-position model. The record is from RNAcentral.
UACGUAGGGUGCAAGCGUUAAUCGGAAUUACUGGGCGUAAAGCGUGCGCAGGCGGUGAUGCAAGACAGAGGUGAAAUCCCCGGGCUCAACCUGGGAACUGCAUUUGUGACUGCAAGGCUGGAGUACGGUAGAGGGGGAUGGAAUUCCGCGUGUAGCAGUGAAAUGCGUAGAUAUGCGGAGGAACACCGAUGGCGAAGGCAAUCCCCUGGACCUGUACUGACGCUCAUGCACGAAAGCAUGGGGAGCGAACGGG